RNAcentral lists this ribosomal RNA (445 nucleotides) under uncultured bacterium. Its description in RNAcentral is "partial 16S ribosomal RNA". It matches the Rfam family "Bacterial small subunit ribosomal RNA", at positions 338 to 795 of the family's 1533-position model. The record is from RNAcentral.
CCUACGGGUGGCAGCAGUCGAGAAUCAUUCACAAUGGGGGAAACCCUGAUGGUGCGACGCCGCGUGGGGAAUGAAGGUUUUCGGAUUUUAAACCCCUGUCCUCUGGGAGCAAAUUAAAAAGAUAGUACCACAAGAGGAAGCGACCGCCAACCAUGUGCCACGAGCCGCGGUAAUACAGAGGUCACCAACGUUGUUCGGAAGCACUGUGCGUAAAGCUUGCGUAGGCGGUUUCGUAAGUCGUGUGUGAAAGGCGCGGGCUCAACCCGCGGACGGCACGUGAUACCGCAAGACUAGAGUAAUGGAGGGGGAACCGGAAUUCUCGGUGUAGCAGUGAAAUGCGUAGAUAUCGAGAGGAACACUCGUGGCGAAGGCGGGUUCCUGGACAUUAACUGACACUGAGGCACGAAGGCCAGGGGAGCGAAAGGGAUUAGAUACCCCAGUAGUC